This 492-nucleotide ribosomal RNA is filed under the name uncultured bacterium. RNAcentral's name for it is "partial 16S ribosomal RNA". It matches the Rfam family "Bacterial small subunit ribosomal RNA", at positions 30 to 507 of the family's 1533-position model. The record is from RNAcentral.
AUUGAACGCUGGCGGUAUGCUUAACAUGCACGUCGAGAAGUACCAGGCAUUAGGGUCUUGCUGUUACGGGAAGGGGUGGGCGGUCGAUUGGGAAGUGCAUCGGGGUGUGGUUUUACGUGGGGGAUAACGUACUGAAACUUACGCUAAUACCGCAUUCAACGUGCGGGUGCAAGCGGCGGUGCUUCGCACCGUGCGUUUGUGAAGGCGGCGAUGUCAGAUUAGCUAGUUGGCGGGGUAAAGGCCCACCAAGGCGACGAUCCGUAGCUGGUCUGAGAGGAUGACCAGCCACACUGGAACUGAGACACGGUCCAGACUCCUACGGGAGGCAGCAGUGGGGAAUAUUGGACAAUGGGCGCAAGCCUGAUCCAGCAAUACCGCGUGCGUGAAGAAGGCCUUCGGGUUGUAAAGCCCUUUUGUUGGGAAAGAAAAGGAGCAGGUUAAUACCUCGCUGUUAUGACGGUACCCAAAGAAUAAGCACCGGCUAACUUCGUG